UCGCGUCACGAAUCGGCGCACUCUACACUCAACAAAGCGUUUGAAUGACCGCUACAGCGGUAGAGGUCGGGAACGAACUUGAGUCUUUCGAAAUGUUUACACCGCGAAGAGAUUAUGGGAACAGAAUAUGGGAAUAAAAUAAAACGAAUGAUCUUUCGUCGGUAACGAUUGCAUGACCAGAUAGUGAACGAAAAUUAUUUACCCAGUGAAAAGAAGCACGAUUACAAAAUUUCGUACAUUAAAAUAUAACUCUUUGUAAAUUUUUAUAUUCGUCGCUUUGGAAAUAAAAUUACUAACAUAAACUGUUGAGCUGGAAUAAGCACAUAGAUGGCGCCAAGUCCUGAUCGGAAAGAAUGUUGAAGUUAUACGAGCUAGGUGGGACAAAUGGUCCCAAGGCUCUAAUUGUUUUCUGUAUUUAUUUUGAAGUUCGCGCACACCAAAAUUAUGUACUCUCGGCUAGAAGGGACAGAAGACUUUCUCCUUUUUUCUACCUCUAUAAAUAAUUGUCAACUAAUUAAGGUGGUAACGUUAUAUCAUUGAGUGACAGGACAUUCAUGUGAAUUUGUGUAUUGACGAAAGCUCAUUAUGCAACUCGUACUACUAAUGAAUUUGUAGUACUGGAUAAUUAACUCGUCAUAGUGGGCAACAUAGAAGGUGACAUUGGAAAAGAGCUCUACGUAACCCACAAUUUAACAAAAAUCAGUUCGAAAAUGGCCAUGAUUUUGCGACGUUUCAAUGCAUUGGAAGAAGGUGUCAUCGAGCUGGUUCGCAUGGAGCACAACACGGAGAGCAUAAAAAUCGAGACGCCGAGUGACAUAAACACCGAGGUGAAGAAGAUUCUCGUGGCAGCAAGAAAGAAAGAGCGAAUUAAUACGGGCGAGCGUCCAAAAACGCCGAAAAAAAUAAAAAUAUCAACGUCAACGUACCACGCUGUGAACGAGUCUCAAGUGCAAAAUCCUUUGACGAAGUUUUCUGCCAUCCAACCAUCGAGCCGUGGUAAAAUCGAUUUUUUGGAAAUCUCUAAUUCCACGAUGUCCAAGGGUGAGAAUCGAAGCUCACUGGAAAAGCCGCUCGUGAAAUUAUUGACUGAAAAAAAAAUGGAAAACCUUUCGCAGCCCAUUGGCUUUCGGCCGUCUUGGAAAUGCGAAUCGUAAAAGUGAUGAGAUUUUUUCAUAUUUCCAUGUCCUCAUACACCCACAUUUUUCCUUAACUCAUUCAGUUAAAGGGAAUCGAAGUAUGUAAAGAACUAAUCGAAAUACUCGCUGCGCUAUGCCAUUGUUCAAGUUCGUUUUAUUAUUAACAUCUUCAUAAUACAUCAUAUAAUUCAUAAAAUACGUACAAAUUAAUGCAUCGCCAACAUCGAUAAUCAAAGUUCAGGUUCCUUCUCCACUGGGAUCGUCUUCCCUCGUUCGAGAGCUCACAAUUCAACAAUAAUGCGUCACAAUAAUUAAUAACUUCAAUUUUGUACGUAGAUUUAUUAA
RNAcentral lists this unclassified non-coding RNA (1481 nucleotides) under Venturia canescens. RNAcentral describes it as "uncharacterized LOC122408410, transcript variant X3". Lineage: Eukaryota; Metazoa; Arthropoda; Insecta; Hymenoptera; Ichneumonidae. The record is from RNAcentral.